Long non-coding RNA from Phyllostomus discolor (pale spear-nosed bat), 835 nucleotides. RefSeq lists it as uncharacterized. The record is from RefSeq and is a predicted model, not a curated record. The transcript has 2 exons. NCBI's taxonomy places the organism in Eukaryota, Metazoa, Chordata, Mammalia, Chiroptera, Phyllostomidae.
UUAUUAAGGGCAAGUUACUUAGCCUCAAUAAGCCUCAAUUUCUUCAUCUGAAAAACAAGGAUUAUACUCAUCUCAAAGGAUUAUAAUGAGGAUUAAAUGUAAAGUGCUUAAUUUAUUCUAAGAGAUGGAGAGUGAGUAAACCAGAAAAUAAGUUGGAGAGCAGCUGUCGAAUAUGGCAAUUUGCAGGCUGAGAGGGUUGGAUUUGCUUAAGAAGUCUUAGAUGUUUUCAAACAGGGAUGUGACAAAUGAAGAGCUGCUGCUUCAGGACAUCGCCUAGGAGAGCUGCUCUGGCAGGAACUGGAAGGUAUGAGAUCCCCCAUGAGAAGACCAGUGGAGAAGCUACCAGAACAGCAAGCCCAGUGUACUCAGUAGCAGACUCCAUGCAGAGAGAAGGAGGUCAACAAUGCGGAACCCUCCCUUCAGGAAGUCCAUUUGAGGUGCUCACUGGACUUACAGAGUGCAUAUAUCUGGCAGUGCUCAAAGUUUUGUUCAAGGAGAAUUCACAAAACAAUGUGGCCUGAAGCCUCAACAGCCAGAUGGUGGUGCAAAUGACAGAGCAAGAGAAAAGCAGAAGAGUUGGCAGACCUGUGUUACCUGGGGCCCUAAUAACAAGAUUACACUAGGGUGAGGUAUAUUCCAAAAAUGGGACUGCUGUCCGUGAUAUAAUUUAUUUUAGCAUAUACCGAGGACACGGAGUAUCUAAGUGGUACAUGCCUUUCUGAAACUCAAGACAACUGGUAACUUACGUUUGCUGGGAUUGUGGUCAAGUCAGUCAAAAUAAAAGUGUGCUGGCAUCUUCUGUUUUCCUGAAGUUUCUACCACUGGUUUGAAGUUU